RNAcentral lists this ribosomal RNA (219 nucleotides) under Ochetomyrmex semipolitus. RNAcentral's name for it is "partial large subunit ribosomal RNA". The record is from RNAcentral. Lineage: Eukaryota; Metazoa; Arthropoda; Insecta; Hymenoptera; Formicidae.
GAAUUUUAUAUAAUUAUUUUUUAGUAGUAAUAAAGUAUAUAUAAUAAUUAAUUAAUAAUUAUAUUUAAUUGGGAGGAUUGUUAAAUUUAAGAAACUUUGAUUAAUUUAAAACAUUAAUUAAUGAUAUUAAGAAUGGUUUAUUUAAUUAAGUAAGAAUUAAUUACCUUAGGGAUAACAGCGUAAUAUUUUUGGUGAGAUCAUAUUAAUAAAAAUGUUUGC